This 650-nucleotide ribosomal RNA is filed under the name uncultured eukaryote. RNAcentral's name for it is "SSU rRNA". It matches the Rfam family "Eukaryotic small subunit ribosomal RNA", at positions 626 to 1280 of the family's 1831-position model. The record is from RNAcentral.
GCUCGUAGUUGGAUUUCGGGCGUGGAGGUUCGGUCCGCCGUUUCGGUGUGCACUGUCUUUCUGCGUCUUUCUGUCGGGGACGCGCUUCUGGCCUUAAUUGGCUGGGACGUGGAUUCGACGAGGUUACUUUGAAAAAAUUAGAGUGUUCAAAGCAAGCUAAAGCUCUGAAUACAUUAGCAUGGAAUAACGCGAGAGGACUCGGUCCUUAUUUUGUUGGUCUUCAAGGAUGGAGUAAUGAUUAAGAGGGACAGUUGGGGGCAUUCGUAUUUCAUUGCUAGAGGUGAAAUUCUUGGAUUUAUGAAAGACGAACUUCUGCGAAAGCAUUUGCCAAGGAUGUUUUCAUUGAUCAAGAACGAAAGUUGGGGGCUCGAAGAUGAUCAGAUACCAUCCUAGUCUCAACCAUAAACGAUGCCGACUAGGGAUUGGCAGGUGUUACAUCGAUGACUCUGCCAGCACCUUAUGAGAAAUCAAAGUUUUUGGGUUCCGGGGGGAGUAUGGUCGCAAGGCUGAAGCUUAAAGGAAUUGACGGAAGGGCACCACCAGGAGUGGAGCCUGCGGCUUAAUUUGACUCAACACGGGGAAACUUACCAGGUCCAGACAUAGUAAGGAUUGACAGAUUGAGAGCUCUUUCUUGAUUCUAUGGGUGGUGG